Non-coding RNA from Jatropha curcas, 4009 nucleotides. Lineage: Eukaryota; Viridiplantae; Streptophyta; Magnoliopsida; Malpighiales; Euphorbiaceae. The record is from RefSeq and is a predicted model, not a curated record.
CUCUCUCUCUCUCCUUCCCCUCAUGUCUCUUUCUCAUCAAUAAAUUUGUAAACAAAAAUAAAAACAAAUCUAUAAAUAAAUUAAGGACCAUAUAUACACAGAGUGUAUAUAGGAAGAGAAUCGGACAAAGAGUUGUUAGCAGGGAACAAAUCUUUCUUUAUGAUGUGUAUUCACGAGUCUCCUGUAAUGCAGAAUUUGCAAGAGAAAGCCAAUAUUUUAAUGCAGAUUAUUGCUGCUCAUCAUGAGUAGAGAUGAGAUUUGCAGCUAAGAACCCAUUUUGAUUUUCUUGAGGCUAAAAGACAAAAAGGACCCUAUGACUGACAUGGAUAUCUUCUGGAAUGCAAAGGACGAAAAACGAGUAGUCAAUCUCCUUCUCCAAACGAAAACAACAGUGAGAAUCGCUCUCUCUUUCUGGAACUAGAAUGUUUCGUUGAUGAAUUAAUCUUUGUGCUUUCACUAUUUCGAAGUGCUUUUCGGAAUUAGUCGCACAUUUUGGGUUGGGAAGAUAGGAAUCGACACGUUGCUUCUUAGGUUAACAUAGAUGGAUAUGCCUGAUAGUUUCACGAUUGAGGUAACAUAUAAGGGAGGCACAAUAUAUCUAUAUGAUGUUCAACCUGAUAGAAUGUCAUACAUUAUCCUGUUACAAAAUGUUUGCAAAGUUCAUCAUUUAAAAGAUGGGAAUGUGGAGAUCAUUUGUUCAUAACACUACACCAUAGAUAAGGAUGCUGAUGUAGAUUUGAUGUUUGAAAGAUAUAAGGAGACUACAUUUGCUCCAUUACGUUUGGAAGAUAGGAUACGUCCCAUGACUGUUAUUAUGCCACCAAUUAACAUUAGUCAAGUGACAAUACUAUGGGAGUUCAAAAUGAAAAACCAAAGGUUGUAGAGGUUCCUGAGGAUAGGGUUGGAGAGGCAAAAAGCAUCAUUGGCUCUCGAACUGAGAUGAGCAGGGACCUUGGUGGUAUGAAUGAUGUUGUUAAUGAAAAUGUUGAUGGGGGAAGUGCAAAUGGAGGGGCUAGAGGUAGAGGGUUGAAAUGUUGUUUGGUUCACAGAUAUGGGAUAAUGUUAUGGCUGAGGAGACUGAGUAUUCAUGUUAGGUGAGGGGUUUAGGCAGGGGCAAGGGAAGGGGGAGGGGGAGAGGGAGAGAAAAUGUUGAGGAAGUCAACAGGGAUAAGGGAAAUCAGAAUAGAGCAAUAUAUCUCAUAAAUUUAGGCAAAGAGUUGAACAUGAAGAUGUUGCAAAUGAUGAUUACGAGGGAGAUGAGAUGGUUGCUGAUAAUCAGUCCAUAAGUGAUGAGUAUGAGCUCUCUGGAAAUGAAGAUGACAAUAGUGAAUCUCAGCAAACUGGGGAUGUAGAAGUUGAGAAAACAAUGGUGAAUGAAGAUGAUGAUGAUGAUGCUGAUGAUCUUAGUUAUAUUGAUAGUGACAAGGAAAUCUAAGCUUCAAGUAGUGAUGGUGAAGAGGCAGCCCCUAGAAGGAAGAGAGUUAGAAGGAAAGUAAACCCCUGGAAGAGAAUUUAUGAUAACAUUUUCAAAACCCCUUAUGAAGGUGAUAAUGAAUUCAGAGUAGGGCAUGCUUUCAUGAAUGUUGAGCAUUGUGGAGAAGCUUUGAGAGAUUAUUUUAUGAGAGGAGGUACCUAGUUGGCGUGAUUAAGACUGAUAGUGAGAGUGUAACAGGUAAAUGUAAGGGUGAGGGUGUCCUUUUAGAUUUCAUAUUAGCUUGGCUCUAGACAGGGUUAUAUUUUGUUGUAAAAACAUUACAGCCUAAGCAUACUUACAUUAGGUCAAUAGGUAACAAGAAUCCAAAUGUUACAACUAAAUGGGUAAGGAAAAAGUUAGACCACAGUUAAGUGCUGAUCCAUCUAUGAGUUUUGAGUUAAUGAAAGUUGAGUUGCAGGGAAAAUGGGGUAUUGAGCCUUAAUAUUGGCAACUUCAUAAGGCAAGAACUGCUGCUAGAGAGCAAGCAGUAGAAUCACAUAUGGAGAGUUAUAAGAAGUUGCAUGAGUAUAUUGCAAAUCUUCAAAGGUCCAAUCCAAGCACCUUCAUCAAAUUCCAGCCAAUGCUAAGGAAUAGUUUGGAUGAUCCAUUAGCAUUUGGUUCCAUGUUCAUAUGCUUUGAAGAAAUGAAAGAGGGGGUUCUUAGAAGGGUGUAGACCUUUAAUAGGACUAGAUGGGUGCUUCCUUAAAGGUCCUUUUGGUGGGUGUUGCCUAAGUGUUGUUACCCUUGAUGGAAAUAAUAGUUUUUUCCUUUUACCAUUUACCAUUAUUCAAAAUGAGAGUACUAGCACUUGGACCUUCUUCCUUGACUAUCUUAGACAGUGCAUUAGCCCUGGAACUACAAAAAAGCCAUGGACAUUCAUUUCAGAUAAAUAAAAGGUAAUCUCUAACUUCUAUUUUUGGAAAAUCAAUCAUUCUUUUCGAUCUAUUAAAUCAAUCACUUACUCUGAUUCUUUGUGCAUAAGGAUUGCUUGAGGUGGUAAGGACCCAAUUUGAGAGGUCCCUUCAUAAAUAUUACUGCCAACACUUGCUUAUGAACUUUAAAAAGCAAUUUCCAGGCGUAAUGUUGAGGAAGGAGUUCUGGAUGGUAGCUAAGUUCAGCCAUGUUUAUGCAUUUAAGAACACAUAAAGAAUAUUGAGUCAAAAAAUAAAGGAAAGCCUACAAAAUGGGUAUUAGACAUUCCUUUGUCACAUUGGUGCAGACAUGCAUUCCAUGAAUCUGCUAAGAGCAUUAAUGUAACAAAUAAUAUGACAGACAGUUUCAAUAUUUGGGUAAGGAAAUUGAGAAAUAAGCCUAUAGUGGAGCUAAUAGAUAGCAUUAUAUAGAAGUGUAUGGUUAAACUUCACAAAAGGUUUGCAAGAGCUACUAGUUGGGAAGGAAGAGUCACACCAAAAUGCAAGAGUGCAUUAAACAAGAUAACUGAAGAAUUCAGGAUUUUGUAAGAUGCUCCCAAGUAACAAUGAAGAGUUUGAGGUGAGAGAGGGGCCUAUUGUUUUUGCUGUGGACUUGGGGAAAAAGACUUGCACUUGCAAUUACUGGGCAAUCUUAGGUAUGCCAUGUAAACAUGCAAGUAUUAUAGCAGGCUAUAGGAGACUGAAUCUUGAGGAUUUGUGUGAUGAAUAUUUCAUAGUAGAGAGAUAUAUGAAGGCAUACAAGGGAGUGAUUCAUCCAAUCCCAAACUACAACUUACCACAUGACACUCAAUUCCCUAUUGUGAAUCCUCCAAACCUAAAAAGAAAGCUUGGUAGACCAACGAAGAGGAGAAUCCUUCAGGAGGGUGAAGCUAUCCAAAAUACAGCAAAGAGAUCUUACACUGUUAGAUGUGUGAUAUGCAAGCACUAGGGCAUAAUAAGAGAACUUGUGAGAAGGCCCCACCAGUGAGCUCUCAGAAGCGAGCAAUUUGUCAAUAGAGGAGGCAAAAGAGCAACUAUUGCUGUUAGGAGAUGAGCUGAAUUUGCUAGUGGAUCCGCACAUAGAGGACUUGCUGCUUCUACGGCAAAAAGAGUUGUUGUUGCUGCUAAAAAUCUGCAAAUUAUGUUGCUACUAAGAUUGGAUCUACAGGUGUUUCUAGGCUUGGAGCUCCAGAUGUUGCUACUGUUAGAGGCUGUUCUUGAUUUGGUUCUGCAAUUAUUUUUUAUUUAGGAAUCUGCAUUCGUUUAUUUGUGAAUCUAUAGUUGGUUUUUUGUGAUGGUUUUUUUAAAUAUGCAGUUGAUUUUUUUAAAGCCUAUGGCAUUUUUUGUUCAUUUAAAAACAUGAAGAAGGUUGAAGAUAUGAAGAUAUAGUGAAAUAGGGGAUAUGGUAUUUAUUUUUUAUUUUGUGUAAAGCAUAUGCAUAUGAAAUCUUUUCUUAUUUGUAUCUGUCUUCCUGUUGGCAGUUAAUGUGUUACAGGAAACACUCAAGAGCAAGUGGACCAUUUUAAUCUUGAGUUCUUUUUGUAAGGCAAAUUAUUAAAAAAGGUUGAAGACCAUUUUUGUGACUAUAAAAUAUUUGAUUAAUGAGAAUGCAAUGAUUUUUAUA